UCCCUUUCCCUCUCUUUCCCUCCACUCCUCUCCUCUCUCCUCUCCUCCCCUCCCUUCCUCUCUCUUCCCCUUCCCUGCCUCCCUUCCUCUCCCUUUGCCUACCUGAAGGAUUGGCUGUUAGAGUCUUUCAGACCUUGACACUUGAGAAGCUUGGAGGCGGAUGUCCCCUCAUCGCCAGCUACAGGUUAGGCACUGUGGGCUGAAGAGCCACAGAAGCAACAGCGCCUGCCUCCUCCAGCUGCCUGGCCCCUUGCGUGUGCCAUCGCUCAUCGCUGGUGAGUGGUCUUGGAUCACGUGACUAGCGGAACCUCCCCGGCUUGCCCUCCCCACCGUAAAGUUACCCAUUUGUCCUUUGUCAUCAGUAAGCAUUUUGUGGGAAGCGCCUGGAAAUGUUGCAAAGCUCACGUUCUUCAGCAAACUUUGAUCAUUUCUAUCAUUUCCUCCUGCACAUCUGCUAUAGGCUGAAUGUUUAUGGCCCCCCGAUUCCCUUGGUGAAACCGCGUCCCCAGGGGAAUGGUAUUUGGAGAUGGGGCCUUUGGGAGAACAUGAGGUCACGGAGGCCGAGCCCUGGUGAGUAGGGGUUGGUGUUCUUCUAAAGGGACCCCAGAGAGCUCCUUUGUCCCUGCAGCCAUGGGAGGACAGAGCAAGAAGGAUCCAUCUAUGAACCAGGAAUCAGGUUCACACCGGACACCCGAUGUGCUGGCGCCGUGAUCGUGGACUUCCCAGCCUCCAGAACCACGACAAAUAAAUUCCUGAUGUUUGUAA
Herpailurus yagouaroundi (jaguarundi) is the source of this 765-nucleotide long non-coding RNA. RefSeq lists it as uncharacterized. NCBI's taxonomy places the organism in Eukaryota, Metazoa, Chordata, Mammalia, Carnivora, Felidae. The record is from RefSeq and is a predicted model, not a curated record. The transcript is spliced from 2 exons.